CUAGCGGCAGGCUUAACACAUGCAAGUCGAGGGGUAUAGGGAGCUUGCUUCCUAGAGACCGGCGCACGGGUGCGUAACGCGUAUGCAAUCUACCUUUUACAGGGGGAUAGCCCAGAGAAAUUUGGAUUAAUACCCCAUGGUAUUAUGGAAUGGCAUCAUUCUGUAAUUAAAGUCACAACGGUAAAAGAUGAGCAUGCGUCCCAUUAGCUAGUUGGUAAGGUAACGGCUUACCAAGGCGACGAUGGGUAGGGGUCCUGAGAGGGAGAUCCCCCACACUGGUACUGAGACACGGACCAGACUCCUACGGGAGGCAGCAGUGAGGAAUAUUGGACAAUGGGCGCAAGCCUGAUCCAGCCAUGCCGCGUGCAGGAUGACGGUCCUAUGGAUUGUAAACUGCUUUUGUACAGGAAGAAACCCUUUCACGUGUGGAAGAUUGACGGUACUGUAAGAAUAAGGAUCGGCUAACUCCGUGCCAGCAGCCGCGGUAAUACGGAGGAUCCAAGCGUUAUCCGGAAUCAUUGGGUUUAAAGGGUCCGUAGGCGGUCUGGUAAGUCAGUGGUGAAAGCCCAUCGCUCAACGGUGGAACGGCCAUUGAUACUGCCAGACUUGAAUUACUAGGAAGCAACUAGAAUAUGUAGUGUAGCGGUGAAAUGCUUAGAUAUUACAUGGGAAUACCAAUUGCGAAGGCAGGUUGCUACCUGGUGGAUUGACCCCUGAUGGA
Molecule: ribosomal RNA, 721 nt
Filed under: uncultured yard-trimming-compost bacterium
Lineage: Bacteria
Description: bacterial SSU rRNA
Rfam family: Bacterial small subunit ribosomal RNA
Source: RNAcentral